This 465-nucleotide ribosomal RNA is filed under the name uncultured bacterium. RNAcentral's name for it is "partial 16S ribosomal RNA". It matches the Rfam family "Bacterial small subunit ribosomal RNA", at positions 338 to 795 of the family's 1533-position model. The record is from RNAcentral.
CCUACGGGAGGCAGCAGUAGGGAAUCUUCCACAAUGGGCGAAAGCCUGAUGGAGCAACGCCGCGUGGGUGAAGAAGGUCUUCGGAUCGUAAAACCCUGUUGUUAGAGAAGAAAGUGCGUGAGAGUAACUGUGCACGUUUCGACGGUAUCUAACCAGAAAGCCACGGCUAACUACGUGCCAGCAGCCGCGGCAAUACUAAGGUGGCAAGCGUUAUCCGGAUUUAGUGGGCGUAAAGGGAUCGCAGUCGGUUGUUUAAGUCUGAGGUGAAAGCCUUCGGCUUAACCAGAGUAGUGCAUUGGAAACUGGGCGACUUGAGUGCAGAAGAGGUGAGUGGAACUCCAUGUGUAGCGGUGAAAUGCGUAGAUAUAAGGAAGAACACCAGUGGCGAAAGCGGCUCUCUGGUCUGUAACUGACGCUGAGGUUCGAAAGCGUGGGUAGCAAACAGGAUUAGAUACCCGGGUAGUC